RNAcentral lists this ribosomal RNA (451 nucleotides) under uncultured bacterium. RNAcentral describes it as "partial 16S ribosomal RNA". It matches the Rfam family "Bacterial small subunit ribosomal RNA", at positions 29 to 523 of the family's 1533-position model. The record is from RNAcentral.
AGCGAACGCUGGCGGCAGGCCUAACACAUGCAAGUCGAGCGGCCGUAGCAAUACGGCAGCGGCAGACGGGAGAGUAACACGUGGGAACGCGCCCUUCGGUUCGGAAUAACUCAGGGAAACUUGGGCUAAUACCGGAUACGCCCUUACGGGGAAAGAUUUAUUGCCGAAGGAACGGCCCGCGUCCGAUUAGCUUGUUGGUGAGGUAACGGCUCACCAAGGCGACGAUCGGUAGCUGGUGUGAGAGGAUGACCAGCCUCACUGGGACUGAGACACGGCCCAGACUCCUGCGCGAGGCAUCAGUGGCGAAUAUUGGACAAUGGGCGCAAGCCUGAUCCAGCCAGGCCUCGUGAGUGAUGAAGGCCCUAGGGUUGUAAAGCCCUUUCGGCGGGGAAGAUAAUGACGGUACCCGCAGAAGAGGCCCCGGCUAACUUCGUGCCAGCAGCCGCGGUAA